This 1203-nucleotide long non-coding RNA is filed under the name Lactuca sativa (garden lettuce). RNAcentral's name for it is "long non-coding RNA (LSAT_LNC002308)". The record is from RNAcentral. Lineage: Eukaryota; Viridiplantae; Streptophyta; Magnoliopsida; Asterales; Asteraceae.
GUUGAUUUCAUUAAAAAAGAAUGUACACUUUGAUCAAAUAAAGAUUCUUUCCGAAAUCUUGAAAAGCAAUAAAAAAUGUUUUGACACAUCUCAUUGCUACAACUAAUUUUAUCUUGGGAAAACACAGAAUCACACAAUGUCAAGUUAUCGGUUAUUUAUGUGAAGAGUUGGUGGUUGAAAUCUUGAUAAGACUACCUCCCAAAUCCCCCUUAAGGUCCUCGUGCAAGAAAAUAUUUGAACUGAACCCCAGAAUUUUAUAUCCUGUAAAAAAAAACCAUUAAGAUUUAUCUCACCAUUAACUAACAUUUACGAUGAAUAGUUAGCAACAUCAAUUUGCGAUUGAUUAUCUAUAAUUCUAUUCGCUACAAAUCAACACCGACAGUACUAUCGGCAAGAUCAAUAAAAAAGAGACACCGGCGAACGUAAACAAAGGAACCGGUCAACGGUUGCAGCCGAACCCAUACCAUCGACAACUGUAACUAUAUCCACGGCUAGAUCUCCGAAAUUGGUGGAUCCAGUGAUGGGGUUUUCUUGAUGAAUGUCACAGAUGGUGGGAGCUUUGGACUUUGAUCACCAGAUUUCGCCAUCAAUCAGGGUUUGGGCAUCUUUGGUGAUAUCGAAGAUUUACAGGGGAAGAACUUGCUUCGAUCUCACUCACUUUCUCCCUCUAACUCUUUCUCUCUAUCUCACCCACAACGGAAGAACAAACAAACGCCAUCGCAGGAGGACUUCCGAUUGACAAAUUCUCCGAGACGAUCGAAUGGUGUCGAGGUGUUUGGGUAUAAACUGAAUAAACGGAUUUCAAAGAGGAGGUACACGUGUAACAUCAAAUUCAAGAUAAAUGUUACCAUGCGGACUGAAACUAACAUGGACAGGGUGUUGACGAGCAAAUCGAUAAAUGGAAUUAAAUGAGGUGAUGAAGAUGAACAAGAAGUUGCUGAUUGGUAUCAUUGUUGAUCAAUUGUGUGUUUGAUUCUAAUGGGCUUUAAGGUUUAGUUCAUCUACCUUGCUUUUAUAAGGAAAAGAAAUGGAAAAAGAAUCCGUGGGGUUUGCUUCUUCUUUAAUAUACUGUGGUGUGUUCUUUUCCAUCAGCAACCAUUUUGAUUUUAAUUUUAUAUUCACAUGAUGUCGAUAAGAUUAAACAACAGGGGAUCAUUCAACUUUCAAAUUGAUACUAUGUUUUAUGUGUGUGGAGUUUUCUUA